RNAcentral lists this long non-coding RNA (817 nucleotides) under Mus musculus (house mouse). RNAcentral describes it as "predicted gene, 48236". The record is from RNAcentral. Lineage: Eukaryota; Metazoa; Chordata; Mammalia; Rodentia; Muridae.
GGUCGCUGAGCAGUAAAGGUGCAGGUGCCUGAAAGCAGGAUUUUUUUUUUUUUAACGCAUUGGUUGAGACUCAGCUCCUGGAUGGCGGCACGCGUGGGGACCUCCCGCACCCUCGGAGCGCGCCUGCCCGCCGUCACUCACGUUUUCUGCACCGGCUUGCGCCGCUUGCGGCUGGCAUAGGUGAUGUUGGCGCCGCUGCUCAUGGUGCCCGCGCCCUGCCCGCUCCACCUGCGUCCCGGAGGCGGCGCCCUGCCCGCGCUGCGCCCAGAAGACAAUAAAACAUCGUUUCCUCCAUCAGACUUCAGGAAGAUGAGAAGGAAAGAAGCACAGGAGUGCUGAGAGCAUGAGAAAUUGGAGGGGACUGAGAUUAUCUUUGCCCAUCUUCCUAGGAAAAAUCUUCUGAGAAUCCCAGGUAGUUCCAGCACAGUUCAAUCCCAAUUUUUGUACCAGCUGGUUGAGGCAGGAAGAGGGAGACGGAUGGAUUGCUACCCAUAAGAUCAGUCCACCUUUCUUCCUGUUUGCAGAUGCUUUUAACCAAUCCUCUUCAUCGACACCAAGUAUCCAUAAGAUGAACCCUAUCGCAGAUUAGGGAUACAGAACUUUGAGAAGUUCCCUCUCUGUAGGAGUAGAAGGCAAGGGAGAACUUGGGGAAGAGACACUGAAGAGACUCAAAGUCUUACUUUGGAGAGACUUGCCUUGUUCAACCUGUUUGCUGCAAAAUCCAGAGAAUGGAGACAAUGAUGAUAACAAUGAUGACAAAGAAGAAGAAGAAGAAGAAGAAGAAGAAGAAGAAGAAGAAGAAGAAGAAGAAGAAGAA